Molecule: long non-coding RNA, 1244 nt
Organism: Apis cerana (Asiatic honeybee)
Lineage: Eukaryota; Metazoa; Arthropoda; Insecta; Hymenoptera; Apidae
Source: RefSeq, a predicted model, not a curated record
UAUCUUGUGGAGCUCUCGCGGACAACUCGUGAACUGCCUCUUUUAUCCGGGGCGCAAUUGAGUCAACGGCCUUUCGAAAGAAGUAACGGUAUACGAUUAUUACUCCUACCGAGUCUAUACUCACGAAACUGAAACAUUCGCACCAGCCGACUUCAGCCACCUUGAACGCUCGCAACCACGCGUUCGAUAUUGCUAUGAUACUCACGGAGUAGUAUAAAGCGAAAGGGGAAAUGCUCUCUAACUGUGCGGAAAAAAAGAGAAAUCGACGCCCAGAUGAGAGAUCGAUGUCCUAUAAAGAGAAAUAUCUGCACCUCGAUGAACCUUGUAAACUAAACACUUUCCAUCGUCAGUCAAUGAUACGAACGCUUCGAUAAUCCUGCACGUCCUUUUGGCCAAGAAGCGAGCUCACCUCUCCUCGGCGAGACGAACAACGCAUUCCAAGAGGUCGUACGCCGACGAUCUGCAUUCGCAGAAAAGGACGAAGAAGCCAAGGAAGCGAGCAAAACGAAUUAGCAUCUCGAUCGCCCAGAGACUUCUCUUCCUAUCUCUCUCAUCUUUGCUUUCUCUUUCUCUCUUUCUCUCCCUUCUUUUUUUGUUUGUUUUUUUUCACGAUGUACUCUACUCCCCAACUCUUUCUUCCGACUAUACGGUGCAGUACGCAUUUUCUUACGCGUAUGCACAAACAACGAGCAAAAGCUAAGGCAUAGUCUGCACAUGCAGUUUUAACGACAUAAAUCAAUGAUCUUUCAAUGGCUCGCAAACGACUUCUAUAGAUGAUAAUAAUACGAAUCCAUUUCAUUCAAUAAAUAUCUAUAAAUAGGGGUUGCUUUGUAAGAUGCUUUGUAAAUUUUUAAAUUUCGUUUUGAAGUGAUUGCUAUGAAUAUUGAUAUUUUUAAUAAAAUAUUUGUCAUUGAUGAUUUAAUAUAAUGAUGUUAGAAAUUUUCGUUCAGAUUAAUUUGCUUUAGAUAAUAUUCAAUUAGUAUUUUAUAAGGAUAAAAAUUAAUAAUUUUGAAUGUGUGCUUCAAUAUUCAAUCAUUGAUAAGAUUGAGAACUUUGAACUGAUUUAUUUUAUUUUUGAUUGAUAUUUAAUUGACAUUAUUGAUUUAAUUCUUUGUCUCAUUUAAUUUGUUAUUUUAUUUUAUUAAUUAUUAAUAUAAAAUGAAGAUUUAAAAUAGUUAUAUUAUAAUAGUUAUAAUUAAAUUAAAUUGUUAGUUAAAAAUGUUAAAAAAGUUAUAAUUUAUAAU